RNAcentral lists this ribosomal RNA (544 nucleotides) under Coripera morleyana. RNAcentral's name for it is "SSU rRNA". It matches the Rfam family "Eukaryotic small subunit ribosomal RNA", at positions 32 to 555 of the family's 1831-position model. Lineage: Eukaryota; Metazoa; Arthropoda; Insecta; Coleoptera; Tenebrionidae. The record is from RNAcentral.
UUGUCUCAAAGAUUAAGCCAUGCAUGUCUCAGUACAAGCCAAAUUAAGGUGAAACCGCGAAAGGCUCAUUAAAUCAGUUAUGGUUCCUUAGAUCGUACCCACAUUUACUUGGAUAACUGUGGUAAUUCUAGAGCUAAUACAUGCAAACAGAGCUCCGACCGGAGACGGAAGGAGCGCUUUUAUUAGAUCAAAACCAAUCGGUGGCGAUUUACGUCGUCAUCGUACAACUUGGUGACUCUGAAUAACUUUAUGCUGAUCGCACGGUCUUGCACCGGCGACGCAUCUUUCAAAUGUCUGCCUUAUCAACUGUCGAUGGUAGGUUCUGCGCCUACCAUGGUUGUAACGGGUAACGGGGAAUCAGGGUUCGAUUCCGGAGAGGGAGCCUGAGAAACGGCUACCACAUCCAAGGAAGGCAGCAGGCGCGCAAAUUACCCACUCCCGGCACGGGGAGGUAGUGACGAAAAAUAACGAUACGGGACUCAUCCGAGGCCCCGUAAUCGGAAUGAGUACACUCUAAACCCUUUAACGAGGAUCAAUUGGAGGG